Non-coding RNA from Apaloderma vittatum (bar-tailed trogon), 73 nucleotides. NCBI's taxonomy places the organism in Eukaryota, Metazoa, Chordata, Aves, Trogoniformes, Trogonidae. The record is from Rfam.
GGCUGGUUAGCUCAGUCAGUUGAGCAUAGCACUGAGAACGCUAAGGUUGCGGGUUUGAUUCCCGUUUGGUCCC